GACGAACGCUGGCGGCGUGCUUAACACAUGCAAGUCGAACGCUGAAGCACCAGCUUGCUGGUGUGGAUGAGUGGCGAACGGGUGAGUAAUACGUGAGUAACCUGCCCUUGACUCUGGGAUAAGCCCGGGAAACUGGGUCUAAUACUGGAUGCUACAUGUCACCGCAUGGUGGUGUGUGGAAAGGGUUUACUGGUCUUGGAUGGGCUCACGGCCUAUCAGCUUGUUGGUGAGGUAAUGGCUCACCAAGGCGACGACGGGUAGCCGGCCUGAGAGGGUGACCGGCCACACGGGGACUGAGACACGGCCCAGACUCCUACGGGAGGCAGCAGUGGGGAAUAUUGCACAAUGGGCGAAAGCCUGAUGCAGCGACGCCGCGUGAGGGAUGACGGCCUUCGGGUUGUAAACCGCUUUCAGUAGGGAAGAAGCGAAAGUGACGGUACCUGCAGAAGAAGCACCGGCUAACUACGUG
This 469-nucleotide ribosomal RNA is filed under the name uncultured bacterium. RNAcentral's name for it is "partial 16S ribosomal RNA". It matches the Rfam family "Bacterial small subunit ribosomal RNA", at positions 28 to 507 of the family's 1533-position model. The record is from RNAcentral.